GACGAACGCUGGCGGCGUGCUUAACACAUGCAAGUCGAACGGAAAGGCCCUGCUUUUGUGGGGUGCUCGAGUGGCGAACGGGUGAGUAACACGUGAGUAACCUGCCCUUGACUUUGGGAUAACUUCAGGAAACUGGGGCUAAUACCGGAUAGGAGCUCCUGCUGCAUGGUGGGGGUUGGAAAGUUUCGGCGGUUGGGGAUGGACUCGCGGCUUAUCAGCGUGUUGGUGGGGUAGUGGCUUACCAAGGCUUUGGCGGGUAGCCGGCCUGAGAGGGUGACCGGCCACAUUGGGACUGAGAUACGGCCCAGACUCCUACGGGGGGCAGAAGUGGGGAAUAUUGCACAAUGGGCGGAAGCCUGAUGCAGCAACGCCGCGUGCGGGGUGACGGCCUUCGGGUUGUAAACCGCUUUCGCCUGUGACGAAGCGUGUGUGACGGUAAUGGGUAAAGAAGCACCGGCUAACUACGUG
This 468-nucleotide ribosomal RNA is filed under the name uncultured bacterium. Its description in RNAcentral is "partial 16S ribosomal RNA". It matches the Rfam family "Bacterial small subunit ribosomal RNA", at positions 28 to 507 of the family's 1533-position model. The record is from RNAcentral.